Molecule: ribosomal RNA, 460 nt
Filed under: uncultured bacterium
Lineage: Bacteria
Description: partial 16S ribosomal RNA
Rfam family: Bacterial small subunit ribosomal RNA
Source: RNAcentral
CCUACGGGAGGCAGCAGUGAGGAAUAUUGGUCAAUGGCCGGAAGGCUGAACCAGCCAUGCCGCGUGAAGGUCAGUGCCCUAUGGGCGUUAAACUUCUUUUGUGCGGGAGCAAUAAUGGUCACGUGUGGCCAGACGAGAGUACCGUACGAAUAAGCAUCGGCUAACUCCGUGACAGCAGCCGCGGUAAGACGGGGGAUGCAAGCGUUAUCCGGAUUUAUUGGGGUUAAAGGGUGCGUAGGCUGUGAGGUAAGUCAGCGGUGAAAUGCCCCCGCUCAACGGGGUGAAGUGCCAUUGAUACUGCCUUGCUGGAAUGCGGAUGCCGUGGGAGGAAUGUGUGGUGUAGCGGUGAAAUGCAUAGAUAUCACACAGAACACCGAUUGCGAAGGCAUCUCACGAAUCCGCGAUUGACGCUGAUGCACGAAAGCGUGGGUAUCAAACAGGAUUAGAUACCCCAGUAGUC